CAUGCAAGUCGAGCGGAAAGGCCCUUCGGGGUACUCGAGCGGCGAACGGGUGAGUAACACGUGAGCAACCUGCCCCAGGCUUUGGGAUAACCCCGGGAAACCGGGGCUAAUACCGAAUAUGACCUCUGACCGCAUGGUUGGUGGUGGAAAGUUUUUCGGCUUGGGAUGGGCUCGCGGCCUAUCAGCUUGUUGGUGGGGUGAUGGCCUACCAAGGCGACGACGGGUAGCCGGCCUGAGAGGGCGACCGGCCACACUGGGACUGAGACACGGCCCAGACUCCUACGGGAGGCAGCAGUGGGGAAUAUUGCACAAUGGGCGGAAGCCUGAUGCAGCGACGCCGCGUGAGGGAUGACGGCCUUCGGGUUGUAAACCUCUUUCAGCAGGGACGAAGCGUAAGUGACGGUACCUGCAGAAGAAGCGCCGGCCAACUACGUGCCAGCAGCCG
Molecule: ribosomal RNA, 445 nt
Filed under: Micromonospora sp. 15C
Lineage: Bacteria; Bacillati; Actinomycetota; Actinomycetes; Micromonosporales; Micromonosporaceae
Description: bacterial SSU rRNA
Rfam family: Bacterial small subunit ribosomal RNA
Source: RNAcentral